RNAcentral lists this long non-coding RNA (375 nucleotides) under Olea europaea (common olive). RNAcentral's name for it is "long non-coding RNA (OEUR_LNC013097)". Lineage: Eukaryota; Viridiplantae; Streptophyta; Magnoliopsida; Lamiales; Oleaceae. The record is from RNAcentral.
UCGAUCUUGUGGUAGACUGCCCUCCUAGUAAUUGAUUGCAUACCGUCUUGCUCCUGUUUACCGUACUAUUAGCUUGACUUCUUUCCGAAUGGUUCAUUCCCUACUUACUCUAUUAGGGGCAUACUCAAUAGUUGUCUUUCCUUUCCUGUACUAUUCCAAUUUCCCUAUUUGAUCUAGUAAGGGGAAGGGCAGACCGCUUACCAUAAACAGAAGAUCGAUAUCGCACAGAAGGCCUGAUAUCGCCCUAUUUGAGAUACUGAUUCAAGUUAGAAGUACUUCCUCAGAGCGAUUGAACUAGCCUUUUGACUAAAUAGAUAUGGGCAUAGAGAGGGAAUCCUGAACUACAGGAAAAAAGGAUUCAAUCCAGACAGAAAG